RNAcentral lists this transfer RNA (73 nucleotides) under Candidatus Regiella insecticola. Its description in RNAcentral is "tRNA-Ala". It matches the Rfam family "tRNA". From Rfam's summary of the family: Transfer RNA (tRNA) molecules are approximately 80 nucleotides in length. Their secondary structure includes four short double-helical elements and three loops (D, anti-codon, and T loops). Further hydrogen bonds mediate the characteristic L-shaped molecular structure. tRNAs have two regions of fundamental functional importance: the anti-codon, which is responsible for specific mRNA codon recognition, and the 3' end, to which the tRNAs corresponding amino acid is attached (by aminoacyl-tRNA synthetases). tRNAs cope with the degeneracy of the genetic code in two manners: having more than one tRNA (with a specific anti-codon) for a particular amino acid; and 'wobble' base-pairing, i.e. permitting non-standard base-pairing at the 3rd anti-codon position. RNAcentral also lists the same sequence under 2 other names. Lineage: Bacteria; Pseudomonadati; Pseudomonadota; Gammaproteobacteria; Enterobacterales; Enterobacteriaceae. The record is from RNAcentral.
GGGGCUAUAGCUCAGCUGGUAGAGCGCCUGCCUUGCACGCAGGAGGUCAGCGGUUCGAUCCCGCUUAGCUCCA